RNAcentral lists this transfer RNA (75 nucleotides) under Proteus myxofaciens ATCC 19692. RNAcentral describes it as "Cosenzaea myxofaciens ATCC 19692 tRNA-Arg". It matches the Rfam family "tRNA". Rfam says of the family: Transfer RNA (tRNA) molecules are approximately 80 nucleotides in length. Their secondary structure includes four short double-helical elements and three loops (D, anti-codon, and T loops). The record is from RNAcentral. Lineage: Bacteria; Pseudomonadati; Pseudomonadota; Gammaproteobacteria; Enterobacterales; Morganellaceae.
GCUCUCUUAGUUAAAUGGAUAUAACGAGCCCCUCCUAAGGGCUAAUUACAGGUUCGAUUCCUGUAGAGAGCGCCA